Molecule: non-coding RNA, 74 nt
Organism: Trichonephila clavipes
Lineage: Eukaryota; Metazoa; Arthropoda; Arachnida; Araneae; Nephilidae
Source: the annotation of a GenBank genome assembly
GGAGCCGUAGCUUGGUUGGUUAAAGCACCUGUCUAGUAAACAGGAGGUCACGAAUUCAAAUCUCAUCGGUGCCU